UACGUUCGUUGGGUAGGGGAGCGUUCUGUAAGCCUGUGAAGGUGUGUCGUGAGGCAUGCUGGAGGUAUCAGAAGUGCGAAUGCUGACAUAAGUAACGAUAAAGCGGGUGAAAAGCCCGCUCGCCGGAAGACCAAGGGUUCCUGUCCAACGUUAAUCGGGGCAGGGUGAGUCGACCCCUAAGGCGAGGCCGAAAGGCGUAGUCGAUGGGAAACGGGUUAAUAUUCCCGUACUUGGUGUUACUGCGAAGGGGGGACGGAGAAGGCUAUGUUGGCCGGGCGACGGUUGUCCCGGUUUAAGCGUGUAGGUGUGUGUUCCAGGUAAAUCCGGUUCACUUUAACACUGAGGCGUGACGACGAGGCACUACGGUGCUGAAGCAACAAAUGCCCUGCUUCCAGGAAAAGCCUCUAAGCAUCAGGUAACACGAAAUCGUACCCCAAACCGACACAGGUGGUCAGGUAGAGAAUACCAAGGCGCUUGAGAGAACUCGGGUGAAGGAACUAGGCAAAAUGGUGCCGUAACUUCGGGAGAAGGCACGCUGACACGUAGGUGAAGUGAUUUACUCAUGGAGCUGAAGUCAGUCGAAGAUACCAGCUGGCUGCAACUGUUUAUUAAAAACACAGCACUGUGCAAACACGAAAGUGGACGUAUACGGUGUGACGCCUGCCCGGUGCCGGAAGGUUAAUUGAUGGGGUCAGCGUAAGCGAAGCUCCUGAUCGAAGCCCCGGUAAACGGCGGCCGUAACUAUAACGGUCCUAAGGUAGCGAAAUUCCUUGUCGGGUAAGUUCCGACCUGCACGAAUGGCGUAAUGAUGGCCAGGCUGUCUCCACCCGAGACUCAGUGAAAUUGAACUCGCUGUGAAGAUGCAGUGUACCCGCGGCAAGACGGAAAGACCCCGUGAACCUUUACUAUAGCUUGACACUGAACAUUGAGCCUUGAUGUGUAGGAUAGGUGGGAGGCUUUGAAGUGUGGACGCCAGUCUGCAUGGAGCCGACCUUGAAAUACCACCCUUUAAUGUUUGAUGUUCUAACGUGGACCCGUAAUCCGGGUUGCGGACAGUGUCUGGUGGGUAGUUUGACUGGGGCGGUCUCCUCCUAAAGAGUAACGGAGGAGCACGAAGGUUGGCUAAUCCUGGUCGGACAUCAGGAGGUUAGUGCAAUGGCAUAAGCCAGCUUGACUGCGAGCGUGACGGCGCGAGCAGGUGCGAAAGCAGGUCAUAGUGAUCCGGUGGUUCUGAAUGGAAGGGCCAUCGCUCAACGGAUAAAAGGUACUCCGGGGAUAACAGGCUGAUACCGCCCAAGAGUUCAUAUCGACGGCGGUGUUUGGCACCUCGAUGUCGGCUCAUCACAUCCUGGGGCUGAAGUAGGUCCCAAGGGUAUGGCUGUUCGCCAUUUAAAGUGGUACGCGAGCUGGGUUUAGAACGUCGUGAGACAGUUCGGUCCCUAUCUGCCGUGGGCGCUGGAGAACUGAGGGGGGCUGCUCCUAGUACGAGAGGACCGGAGUGGACGCAUCACUGGUGUUCGGGUUGUCAUGCCAAUGGCACUGCCCGGUAGCUAAAUGCGGAAGAGAUAAGUGCUGAAAGCAUCUAAGCACGAAACUUGCCCCGAGAUGAGUUC
Molecule: ribosomal RNA, 1613 nt
Filed under: Salmonella enterica
Lineage: Bacteria; Pseudomonadati; Pseudomonadota; Gammaproteobacteria; Enterobacterales; Enterobacteriaceae
Description: partial 23S ribosomal RNA
Rfam family: Bacterial large subunit ribosomal RNA
Source: RNAcentral